UGCGACUCCUGACUCCAUCAAUGACGUGAUUACAGAAGGUUUUAUAGAUCUCUCUACUUUUUGGUGAAAAGACUUCCUGGCUGUGUGUCUUCUGAGAAAUGAAAAAAAAAAAAAAUCUCUCCACCUGAGAAGCCCUUUCAUUUAUAAUUGUUUCUUAGACUAGAAGAGAACGCGGACGAAUGUUUAGCUGUCGUUCACCAGUUUGCCCCCGUGGAUUAUCCAGUUUAAUCUCAGGAAAAAGAUCCCGCCCCCCUGAACAAGUAUUUACCUAUUUUACGAAGGAGACUAAGAUAUAUGCUUCUUCUCUUGUUCUGGGAGUGCUUAAGACCUUUUCUAUUCUUCAUGACAACAUACAAGACUUUUCAAGAAAAUAUUACUUGCAAUGUUGGCUCAUCUUUUCAUAGCAGGC
Molecule: long non-coding RNA, 409 nt
Filed under: Fukomys damarensis (Damara mole-rat)
Lineage: Eukaryota; Metazoa; Chordata; Mammalia; Rodentia; Bathyergidae
Description: lncRNA (ENSFDAG00000030915.1)
Source: RNAcentral